Molecule: non-coding RNA, 80 nt
Filed under: Paenibacillus selenitireducens
Lineage: Bacteria; Bacillati; Bacillota; Bacilli; Caryophanales; Paenibacillaceae
Description: Glycine sequence
Rfam family: Glycine riboswitch aptamer
About the family: This family represents the bacterial glycine riboswitch. Glycine riboswitches usually consist of two metabolite-binding aptamers domains with similar structures in tandem. The aptamers cooperatively bind glycine to regulate the expression of downstream genes.
Source: Rfam by way of RNAcentral
GGAGCAGCUUCUGGAGAGACCGUGGAAUUCCACGGCGCCGAAGGGUUCACAAUCUCAGGCAAAAGGACAGAAGAGUAUUA